This 65-nucleotide transfer RNA is filed under the name Termitinae sp. Its description in RNAcentral is "tRNA-Thr". It matches the Rfam family "tRNA". Rfam says of the family: Transfer RNA (tRNA) molecules are approximately 80 nucleotides in length. Their secondary structure includes four short double-helical elements and three loops (D, anti-codon, and T loops). The record is from RNAcentral. Lineage: Eukaryota; Metazoa; Arthropoda; Insecta; Blattodea; Termitidae.
GUUUUAAUAAUUUAAUAAAAAUAUUGGUCUUGUAAACCAAAAAUAAGGAACAGCCUUUUAAAACU